GGCCCUUCGGGGUACACGAGCGGCGAACGGGUGAGUAACACGUGGGUGAUCUGCCUCGUACUCUGGGAUAAGCCUGGGAAACUGGGUCUAAUACCGGAUAUGACCACGAAUCGCAUGGUUUGUGGUGGAAAGAUUUAUCGGUGCGAGAUGGGCCCGCGGCCUAUCAGCUUGUUGGUGGGGUAAUGGCCUACCAAGGCGACGACGGGUAGCCGGCCUGAGAGGGCGACCGGCCACACUGGGACUGAGACACGGCCCAGACUCCUACGGGAGGCAGCAGUGGGGAAUAUUGCACAAUGGGCGGAAGCCUGAUGCAGCGACGCCGCGUGAGGGAUGACGGCCUUCGGGUUGUAAACCUCUUUCGACAGGGACGAAGCGCAAGUGACGGUACCUGUAGAAGAAGCACCGGCCAACUACGUGCCAGCAGCCGCGGUAAUACGUAGGGUGCGAGCGUUGUCCGGAAUUACUGGGCGUAAAGAGCUUGUAGGCGGUUCGUCGCGUCGAUCGUGAAAACUUGCAGCUCAACUGCGAGCUUGCGGUCGAUACGGGCGGACUAGAGUACUGCAGGGGAGACUGGAAUUCCUGGUGUAGCGGUGAAAUGCGCAGAUAUCAGGAGGAACACCGGUGGCGAAGGCGGGUCUCUGGGCAGUAACUGACGCUGAGAAGCGAAAGCGUGGGUAGCGAACAGGAUUAGAUACCCUGGUAGUCCACGCCGUAAACGGUGGGCGCUAGGUGUGGGUUUCCUUCCACGGGAUCCGUGCCGUAGCUAACGCAUUAAGCGCCCCGCCUGGGGAGUACGGCCGCAAGGCUAAAACUCAAAGGAAUUGACGGGGGCCCGCACAAGCGGCGGAGCAUGUGGAUUAAUUCGAUGCAACGCGAAGAACCUUACCUGGGUUUGACAUACACCAGAAAGCUGCAGAGAUGUAGCCCCCCUUGUGGUUGGUGUACAGGUGGUGCAUGGCUGUCGUCAGCUCGUGUCGUGAGAUGUUGGGUUAAGUCCCGCAACGAGCGCAACCCUUGUCCUGUGUUGCCAGCGCGUUAUGGCGGGGACUCGCAGGAGACUGCCGGGGUCAACUCGGAGGAAGGUGGGGACGACGUCAAGUCAUCAUGCCCCUUAUGUCCAGGGCUUCACACAUGCUACAAUGGCCGGUACAGAGGGCUGCGAUACCGUGAGGUGGAGCGAAUCCCUUAAAGCCGGUCUCAGUUCGGAUCGGGGUCUGCAACUCGACCCCGUGAAGUUGGAGUCGCUAGUAAUCGCAGAUCAGCAACGCUGCGGUGAAUACGUUCCCGGGCCUUGUACACACCGCCCGUCACGUCAUGAAAGUCGGUAACACCCGAAGCCGGUGGCCUAACCC
Molecule: ribosomal RNA, 1352 nt
Filed under: Nocardia sp. FXJ1.493
Lineage: Bacteria; Bacillati; Actinomycetota; Actinomycetes; Mycobacteriales; Nocardiaceae
Description: bacterial SSU rRNA
Rfam family: Bacterial small subunit ribosomal RNA
Source: RNAcentral